RNAcentral lists this long non-coding RNA (3739 nucleotides) under Malus domestica (apple). RNAcentral's name for it is "long non-coding RNA (MDOM_LNC011054)". The record is from RNAcentral. Lineage: Eukaryota; Viridiplantae; Streptophyta; Magnoliopsida; Rosales; Rosaceae.
UUUUUUGCCUUGGUACCUAAAUCCAUACAUAUACUCUCUUUAAAAUUAUACUCUCUUUAAAAAUUCUAUACCUUGAUGAUAAAGAGCUUGCAAAGCCGCAAUGAAAAACUGGAAAUUCGACCAACAACUUUUGCUACAACUAAAAAUCAAAGCAGAUCAGAAAAGUACACCCAAAGCUUGAAAAAAAAUUAAAUCACACACAAUCAGAAAAAUGGAAAACUCACCAGUAAACGUUUGAUCGUAUCCUUAACUUUUUCUGAAAUAAAAAAUCAAAACACAUCAGAGAACCACACAUAAACCACGAAAAAAAAAUUGAAAUUAUAUAGCUGAUGCACAAAUGGUUUGCAAACGCACAUACAAAAUUUCCUAAAAACAAAGACAAACGUUUCCUGAAAUGAAAAGAAAAGCAAAUCAUAGAGACAAACCGAAGACCACCCCAAAAAAAUUUAAAUUUUGUUCGACAAAAAGCCCAAAAGAAAAAGUAGAUUUUAUAUACACAUCUUGAACACAAAAAGCUUACGAAGUCGCACAUGAAAGCCCCAAAAUUGGGACAUGAGGGUUUCCUGAAACCAAAUAAGCGCACAUAUCAAACCCCCAAAAUGAAAAAAAAGAAAAUUUAAAGAAAAAAUCCAUCUGCAAAUCGAAAACCACCGAAAAAAAUUAAAUCAGACACAUUGGAAAAAACGCAAAACUCAAUGGAACAACACUGGCGUGGAAGAGAAAAAAAGCAAAAGGUGAGAAUGGAGAGAGAGAAGCGAACGGAAAGAAAAAGCUAAGAAGAGGUUGGAAACGGAACAAUAGAAGAGUAGAAAUGGGUAUAGGAAACGGAACAAUGGAACAAAAAGCAGGCUGUGUAUAGAGCGAGAAAAGCAAACCUCACGAUGACCAACACGUGGUAAGAGAGGCCCCGGUUCCCCCAACUUUUCCAGCCUCCUUCUGUUAAAUUCACUGUAUAUUACAUUUUUUAAUAUUUUUUUGGUCUUGCCACCGGCUAUACAUGGGGUUCAAAAAUUAAGAAGGUAUAAAUUUUUAUUGUUUCUUGUGCCACAAACCAUGUGGCACGGUCUUAAUCACAUUUUUUAAAUAUUUUUUUGCUCUUCCCAUAAGCUGUACAUGAGUUUUAAAAAUUAGGAAGGUAUACAUUUUUAUUGUUUGUUGUGCCACAAACCAUGUGGCCCGAUUUUAAUCACAUUUUUUUAAUAUUUUUUUCUGCCCACCAGCUAGGUUUAAAGAAUUAAAAAAAGACUAAAAGAAAGACACCACAGAUGGAGGAACAGGUGAUAAGAAAGGGCAAAUUCGGGAUUUUACUGUACAAAAAAGACAAAAAGUAACUGCUGAAGACUAACUUGAGGGGCAUUUUAGUCCGCACACUGCCUUAGAAUAGUAACCAUCGGUUUGGGUUUUAGUAUAUAUAAACAAGUAAAUUUUGCCCGCACGUUGUUGCGGGAGCGAAAAUAUAACUAUAGAUUAUGUUUUUAACAUAUAAAUAUGCAAAGAGUUAUAAAUACUAAACAUGAAAUGAAACAAAUAUUUUUCCGAAGCUGUGUAAGUUGAUAUAAUUUACAGAAAAUACAUUAUCAAAUGCCUUAUCAUCAGUACACAAAAAUGGUUAAUCUAGUAUUCCCCCUUGACAGUGAUCCUAAAGAGCCCAUUGUUUAUAUACAUAAAAAAGAAUGGAGAAUUCAUGUUAGGAUCAACUAUUUACACACACAAAAAAAUGUGAAAUCAAUACUUCUUUUUUUUGGAUAACACAUGCCAACAUCCUCUAACACAUGAGCAAAAGUUUUUUGGUUGAAGCAGUAACUGCAGAAAAAACAAUAUUGAUCAUCAGAAAAAAAAAAAAAAAAAGAGAAGCUAAAAAUGAAAGGAAAAGAGGAGAAAAGGAAAUAAGACAGCAAACGUGCAGAAAAGAAAAGAGAAACAAAAGAAAAGAGCUUACAAACAUACGUUGCUUUAUCACAUUUUUUAAUAUUUUUUUUGUCCUGCCACCCAUUUUUUUAUUAUUAUUUUAUCUUUUUCUGAACUAAAAGAAUCUUGCCACAUUAAGUUUAGCUUGUAUUUUUUAAUUUUUUCUUUUGCCUUACGAAAGACUUGUCUUGUCACGCCGGGUUUAACUCACAUUUUUCAAGAUUUUUAUUGCCUUACCAUCAGUUGCUUUAUCACAUUUUUUAACAUUUUUUUGUCCUGCCAUCAAUUUUUCCUGCCAUAAGUUGUUUUAUCAUAUUUUUUUAAUAUUCAUUUGUCCUGCCACCAAUUUUUUUAUCAUUAUUUUAUCUUUUUCUGGACUAAAAGAAAGACUUAUCGUGCCACACCGGGUUUAAAUCUCAUUUUUUUAGAUUUUUUUGCCUUAGAAUCAGUUGCUUUAUCACAUUUUUUUAGAUUUUUUUGUAAGAAUUCUCAUAAAAAGAUUAAAAAAAAAAGACUCAGUAUAUUUUUUGCUCUAUCAUGGUCAUCAGUUUAGGUAGCAAUCAUUUAUCCUAAUUCAUUUUCAAAUUAGGAUUCGAAUUCAAAAUACAAAACACGAAAAUCCAAAUUAAACAGAAAAUUCAAAUUCAGAACGCAAAAACCUAAAUGCAUCUAACAUUUAUUAACACAAAAGAAGCAAAAGCUAGUCAUGAUAACAAUUUGACCAGUUAAGAAAAUCUCUUUCUUUUAUCAUUUUACAACACUCUUGUUUUCAAAAAUAUUUAAACAAAGCGAUCUCUAUCUUUUAAAUUUCAGUCUCUAAGCAAACCUCUACCCUAUCGCACUGUUAGCAACCAAUUUUUUGCCUUGGUACCUAAAUCCAUACAUAUACUCUCUUUAAAAUUAUACUCUCUUUAAAAAUUCUAUACCUUGAUGAUAAAGAGCUUGCAAAGCCGUAAUGAAAAACUGGAAAUUCGACCAACAACUUUUGCUGCAACUAAAAAUCAAAGCAGAUCAGAAAAGUACACCCAAAGCUUGAAAAAAAAUUAAAUCACACACAAUCAGAAAAAUGGAAAACUCACCAGUAAACGUUUGAUCGUAUCCUUAACUUUUUCUGAAAUAAAAAAUCAAACCACAUCAGAGAACCACACAUAAACCAUGAAAAAAAAAUUGAAAUUAUAUAGCUGAUGCACAAAUGGUUUGCAAACGCAUAUACAAAAUUUCCAAAAAACAAAGACAAACGUUUCCUGAAAUGAAAAGAAAAGCAAAUCAUAGAGCCAAAUCGAAGACCACCCAAAAAAAAUUUAAAUUUUGUUCGACAAAAAGCCCAAAAGAAAGAGUAGAUUUUAUAUCACACCUUGAACACAAAGAGCUUGCGAAAUCGCACAUGAAAGCCCCAAAAUUGGGACAUGAGCGUUUCCUGAAACCAAAUAAGCGCACAUAUCAAACCCCCAAAAUGAAAAAAAAUAAAAUUUAAAGAAAAAAAUCCAUCUGCAAAUCGAAAACCACCGAAAAAAAUUAAAUCAGAUACACUGGAAAAAACGCAAAACUCAAUGGAACAACACUGGCGUGGAAGAGAAAAAAAGCAGAAGGUGAGAAUGGAGAGAGAGAAGCGAACGGAAAGAAAAAGCUACGAAGAGGUUGGAAACGGAACAAUAGAAGAGCAGAAAUGAGUAUGGGAAACGGAACAACGAAACAAAAAGCAGGCUGUGUAUAGAGCGAGAAAAGCAAACCUCACGAUGACCAACACGUGGUAAGAGAGGCCCCGGUUCCCCCAACUUUUCCAGCCUCCUUCUGUUAAAUUCACUGUGUAUCACAUUUUUUAAUGUUUUUU